Molecule: long non-coding RNA, 2664 nt
Organism: Vidua chalybeata
Lineage: Eukaryota; Metazoa; Chordata; Aves; Passeriformes; Viduidae
Exons: 6
Source: RefSeq, a predicted model, not a curated record
CGCCACGGGGCUUUUCCCCGGAGGGACUCUGCGCCUCGGCUGUACACUGCGGGGAGCAGACCACGGCCCGUCGACUAGCGGAUGAAAGCGUGAUUCAAAUGGACUUAUUCUUCAUUGGAUUCGUCUUGCUUUGGUGGUUUCUGUGGACUCACCUGUUCCCGCGUGGCGAUUACAAUGGACUUUCAUUGUUACACUUGCUCCCCCCCUCUUUCCUCUGUGGACUAUAACUGGAGCCCCGAGUCGACCAGAACUUCGGAGACUCCCCCGACACGACAGAUGGAUCCCCAUCGUCCGGACCACUGAGGAUCUCGCCUGUGUUGCAGAAUUCUGUUGUGUUUACUUUUUCAGAAGAACCCCGAGGGACAUGAAGACCACCUAAUCCAUGAUAAAACUGGUAAUACUUUUCUGCAUCCUACCACAACCCCAUGGCCAGAAACCAGCUGAGUGGCCGUGGUCUGAACUAAUUGUGGUAGCAUGCAGAAAAAGUGAAAGGAUCUCUUUAAGCACAAAAAGGUGUGUACGCACCCAAGCAUACAGGAUUGUUGGCACAAUUACACAUUAACACAAACUGUAGAAGUAGUUUGGUUUUGGUCCAAAAAUACCGAAGCACUUUUUUUUGUUUUGUUUUGUUUUUGUUUUUGUUUUUGUUUUUUAAGUUUAAAGUAUUGAUUCAAAUACUGGAGUAGGACUUGAUGUUAAUGUUGUGACACCUACCACCCAACCACUGGUUACACUUAGCCCGAAAAUCUUUGGAAUUGGACCAUAUAUAAUCAGGAAAACUGGCCAACAACAGAUAUUGUUUAAUCUGUUAUGGUCUCUUAAACAAGUCAAAUUGCUGAUGCAAAACAAUAUCUCAGAAAUACAACCAGCUUGUUCACCCUUUUUGCAGACCUCUUUUCAGGGUUGGACAACCUGGCUGCGACAGUGGAACCCUCCUAAAAACCGGGUGCCAAGAGACGUAACUGGUCUUGUGGGGACAGGAUUGGGAAUCCUAAAUAGUAUUGAUUCAGAAGUAUUAAUGAAUAAAUUGGCUUCCACAACUAAAGAUUUAACCAAAAUACAACAACCACUGCAAUCGUCCUUAUCAGCCUUGGGAACACAUCAGUGGUUGCUAUCAAACAUUCUACCAAAUUGGGAAAAGAUAAAUGUAAAUAAUAGCAAAUUGAUAAUUGAUGGACUUAAUGCCACACAAAGCAACGUUUCCUUAGCUCUUAGCUGUAUCCAGGCUCAAUUAUGGAUGCAGUCAGUUGCUGCCUCAAUUAUAAGAGAAGGUGAAGAAGGCACUUUUCCUACUGAGAUUAGGAAAAUAGUCUGGGACAGUGCCACUGACUUCGAAAGAGAUUUCCAAUCCUGGUGGAAUUUAGUGAAUUUUACCUAUGACCCUAACACAAACACAGCCACAGCAUUUGUGCUGACCAUAAGAAAUGCCUCGGUGCAUUUGAUAUUCCCUAUCAUUGCACUAGGAUUAAAUCAUGAUGGACCCACUUUCUAUCCUUCUGAACAUAGAGAAUGGGCCCGUCAAAUUGAUGACAAAUGGCAAACUGUCAAUUUAGAGUCCUGUACCAUCUGAGAACAACUAGGGUUUAUCUGUGAAGCUCCAGUUACUUCACAUGAACUUUUAGAAUCCAAUCUCACGUUGAUUCACAAGCUACUGCCUACUCCCAUUGGGAUGAACCUUACUCUGUAAUCUUGCUUAUUGUAAAUUGGAGAAUGAUGAAAUGAUGAACAAAAUUAACAUCUAUAAUUAAUGCACACCACUUGGCCGACAUCCUUUACACUAUAGAUGUUCCCAGGACUGUAGACACAAGAAGAUUAUAAGUUUUCCUGUUUUCUCUUUCUUUCCCUUUUCCUCUUCUCUUUUCCCUGCGACGUGCUGCCAACACUUGACGAGUCCUGAAGACUCCACGACGACACCAUGGAAUCCUGCUGAUGAAGAUCUUUCGAGGGCAAUCGUCAGUCACGGGGUGGUGUAAGAGCCCGUCUGAAGCCCCUCAUUUUCCAUUCUGCCUUCCGAUUGCCACAAGAAAGAAUCCCAUCCCCCACUGUAGUUCCGGCUUAGAACAGGACACAGCACAGGUGGAACCACUGAACCGUCACGCUGGCUGUUCCGAACAAGGCCUGGUAAGAACUUGGCAAGGACUUGGCAAGGACUUGGCAAAGACCUGACGUGGACCCAGCACGGGACAGCCUGAUGCGCGGCCUGCUUCUAAUCUCCGUUCUUAAGCCAAAUGAACUUUUGGGGUGACUCUCGCGGUCCUUCAUUGAAGACCCCUCAUCUGCCUCGUUACCACUGUGACAAACAAAGAAUGAGAACCCUCCUCCCAAGGACUGAGACUGAGACCCCUGCUAUAGGGAGGAGGGGAAAUUGGUGGUCUGACCACUAAUGACAUGACCUGUUUCCCUUCAGUGAUUCAAAUGGACUUAUUCUUCAUUGGAUUCGUCUUGCUUUGGUGGUUACUGUGGACUCACCUGUUCCCUCGGGGCGAUUACAAUGGACUUUCAUUAUUACACUUGUUCCCCCCCUCUCUCCUCUGUGGACUAUAAUUGGACCCCCAAGUCGACCAGAACUUCGAAGACUCCCCCGACACGACAGAUGGAUCCCCAUCGUCCGGAGCACUGAGGAUCUCGCCUGUGUUGGUAGCUAUUCCCAUAUCCCUCUUCUCU